CAGGUACUUACUAACUAGCGGGCUGGGUUCUCCCCUAGUGAUAGGCGUCCAGGUACUUACUAGCGGGCUGGGUUCUCCCCUAGUGAUAGGCGCCCAGGUACUUACUAGCGGGCUGGGUUCUCCCCUAGUGAUAGGCGCCCAGGUACUUACUAGCAGGCUGGGUUCUCCCCUGGUGAUAGACGGCCAGGUACUUACUAGCGGGCUGGGUUCUGCCCUGGUGAUGAGCAAGCUAAGAACAGGUGAGGGAUGUGGCAGAAAAAAACCUGUCUAACCACAGGCACUGACCCUGUCAGUGGCUUUUGGAUAAAAUCCUGGGAGAUAGCUCAAACU
Acomys russatus (golden spiny mouse) is the source of this 330-nucleotide long non-coding RNA. RefSeq lists it as uncharacterized. NCBI's taxonomy places the organism in Eukaryota, Metazoa, Chordata, Mammalia, Rodentia, Muridae. The transcript is spliced from 3 exons. The record is from RefSeq and is a predicted model, not a curated record.